This 1371-nucleotide ribosomal RNA is filed under the name metagenome. RNAcentral's name for it is "bacterial LSU rRNA". It matches the Rfam family "Bacterial large subunit ribosomal RNA", at positions 1566 to 2925 of the family's 2925-position model. The record is from RNAcentral.
UUAACGAGGCAGCUUGCUGCCGAAGUGAGUGAUACCCUGCUUCCAGGAAAAGCCACUAAGCUUCAGCUACACACGACCGUACCGCAAACCGACACUGGUGCGCGAGAUGAGUAUUCUAAGGCGCUUGAGAGAACUCGGGAGAAGGAACUCGGCAAAUUGACACCGUAACUUCGGAAGAAGGUGUGCCUUUAGUAGGUGAAGUCCCUCGCGGAUGGAGCCCAAUGAGGUCGCAAAAAAUCGGUGGCUGCGACUGUUUAUUAAAAACACAGCACUCUGCAAACACGAAAGUGGACGUAUAGGGUGUGACGCCUGCCCGGUGCUGGAAGAUUAAAUGAUGGGGUGCAAGCUCUUGAUUGAAGUCCCAGUAAACGGCGGCCGUAACGAUAACGGUCCUAAGGUAGCGAAAUUCCUUGUCGGGUAAGUUCCGACCUGCACGAAUGGCGUAACGAUGGCCACACUGUCUCCUCCCGAGACUCAGCGAAGUUGAAAUGUUUGUGAUGAUGCAAUCUCCCCGCGGAAAGACGGAAAGACCCCAUGAACCUUUACUGUAGCUUUGUAUUGGACUUUGAACAGAUCUGUGUAGGAUAGGUGGGAGGCUUUGAAGUAGGGUCGCUAGAUUCUAUGGAGCCAACGUUGAAAUACCACCCUGGUGUGUUUGAGGUUCUAACCUAGGUCCAUUAUCUGGAUCGGGGACAGUGCAUGGUAGGCAGUUUGACUGGGGCGGUCUCCUCCCAAAGCGUAACGGAGGAGUUCGAAGGUACGCUAGUUACGGUCGGACAUCGUGACGAUAGUGCAAUGGCAUAAGCGUGCUUAACUGCGAGACUGACAAGUCGAGCAGAUGCGAAGGCAGGACAUAGUGAUCCGGUGGUUCUGUAUGGAAGGGCCAUCGCUCAACGGAUAAAAGGUACUCUGGGGAUAACAGGCUGAUACCGCCCAAGAGUUCAUAUCGACGGCGGUGUUUGGCACCUCGAUGUCGGCUCAUCUCAUCCUGGGGCUGUAGCCGGUCCCAAGGGUAUGGCUGUUCGCCAUUUAAAGAGGUACGUGAGCUGGGUUUAAAACGUCGUGAGACAGUUUGGUCCCUAUCUUCCGUGGGCGCUGCAGAUUUGAGGAAGCCUGCUCCUAGUACGAGAGGACCGGAGUGGACACACCUCUGGUGUAUCGGUUGUCACGCCAGUGGCAUUGCCGAGUAGCUAAGUGUGGAAGAGAUAACCGCUGAAAGCAUCUAAGCGGGAAACUCGUUUCAAGAUGAGAUCUGCCGGGGCCUUGAGCCCCCUAAAGAGUCGUUCAAGACCAGGACGUUGAUAGGUCGGGUGUGGAAGCGCAGUAAUGCGUUAAGCUAACCGAUACUAAUUGCUCGUGCGGCUUGACCCU